Molecule: ribosomal RNA, 900 nt
Filed under: Rothia kristinae
Lineage: Bacteria; Bacillati; Actinomycetota; Actinomycetes; Micrococcales; Micrococcaceae
Description: bacterial SSU rRNA
Rfam family: Bacterial small subunit ribosomal RNA
Source: RNAcentral
GGGAAGAAGCGGAAGUGACGGUACCUGCAGAAGAAGCGCCGGCUAACUACGUGCCAGCAGCCGCGGUAAUACGUAGGGCGCAAGCGUUGUCCGGAAUUAUUGGGCGUAAAGAGCUCGUAGGCGGCUUGUCGCGUCUGCUGUGAAAGCCCGGGGCUUAACUCCGGGUGUGCAGUGGGUACGGGCAGGCUAGAGUGCAGUAGGGGUAACUGGAAUUCCUGGUGUAGCGGUGAAAUGCGCAGAUAUCAGGAGGAACACCGAUGGCGAAGGCAGGUUACUGGGCUGUUACUGACGCUGAGGAGCGAAAGCAUGGGGAGCGAACAGGAUUAGAUACCCUGGUAGUCCAUGCCGUAAACGUUGGGCACUAGGUGUGGGGGACAUUCCACGUUUUCCGCGCCGUAGCUAACGCAUUAAGUGCCCCGCCUGGGGAGUACGGCCGCAAGGCUAAAACUCAAAGGAAUUGACGGGGGCCCGCACAAGCGGCGGAGCAUGCGGAUUAAUUCGAUGCAACGCGAAGAACCUUACCAAGGCUUGACAUACACCGGAUCGUUCCAGAGAUGGUUCUUCCCUUUUGGGCUGGUGUACAGGUGGUGCAUGGUUGUCGUCAGCUCGUGUCGUGAGAUGUUGGGUUAAGUCCCGCAACGAGCGCAACCCUCGUUCUAUGUUGCCAGCACGUGAUGGUGGGGACUCAUAGGAGACUGCCGGGGUCAACUCGGAGGAAGGUGGGGAUGACGUCAAAUCAUCAUGCCCCUUAUGUCUUGGGCUUCACGCAUGCUACAAUGGCCGGUACAAUGGGUUGCGAUACUGUGAGGUGGAGCUAAUCCCAAAAAGCCGGUCUCAGUUCGGAUUGGGGUCUGCAACUCGACCCCAUGAAGUCGGAGUCGCUAGUAAUCGCAGAUCAGC